RNAcentral lists this ribosomal RNA (437 nucleotides) under uncultured bacterium. RNAcentral describes it as "bacterial SSU rRNA". It matches the Rfam family "Bacterial small subunit ribosomal RNA", at positions 30 to 465 of the family's 1533-position model. The record is from RNAcentral.
AUUGAACGCUGGCGGCAUGCCUUACACAUGCAAGUCGAACGGCAGCACGGGAGCAAUCCUGGUGGCGAGUGGCGAACGGGUGAGUAAUGUAUCGGAACGUACCUUUCAGUGGGGGAUAACGUAGCGAAAGUUACGCUAAUACCGCAUAUUCUGUGAGCAGGAAAGCAGGGGAUCGCAAGACCUUGCGCUGAUUGAGCGGCCGAUAUCAGAUUAGCUAGUUGGUGAGGUAAAGGCUCACCAAGGCGACGAUCUGUAGCGGGUCUGAGAGGAUGAUCCGCCACACUGGAACUGAGACACGGUCCAGACUCCUACGGGAGGCAGCAGUGGGGAAUUUUGGACAAUGGGCGCAAGCCUGAUCCAGCCAUGCCGCGUGAGUGAAGAAGGCCUUCGGGUUGUAAGUACUCUUUACGUAUGUGUACGAUGAUGACGGUAGCGAU